This 2183-nucleotide ribosomal RNA is filed under the name Triticum aestivum (bread wheat). RNAcentral describes it as "partial small subunit ribosomal RNA". The record is from RNAcentral. Lineage: Eukaryota; Viridiplantae; Streptophyta; Magnoliopsida; Poales; Poaceae.
CUGGGUGUCGGAGCGCAAGGGGGGUGUAGAGCAGCGAGCAUGAAAGGGGGUUAGGCGAGCGGAGCGGAGAGGAGAGGAGUUGGCGGCGAGGCGGGGGGCGCGGCGGAGGACGAGGCCGAGGCCGCUCUACAGAGCGAAGCCCGCGAGGCCGGGCGGCGGCUAGGCGCUGUGGAUGAGGGAGGAGCAGGAGUUGUAGUGGAAGGCAUGGUGGCGGCUACUGGAAAAGGGCGAGAAGCUGUUCAUGCCGCUCCAGCAGCUGUAGAUGUAGGGAUCCCUGGCGUCCUGACCGCUGAGCGCUCCCAAACGGAAGCACUCCAUGUUCAUACUCCUGCUCCGCGUCUUCCGUCAACUAGCGGACCUACCCUCCAACCACCUACCCUCCCUCUACUACCACGUCAAACGGUUCAUGCCGGGUUUACGACUCGCCUAAGUCUUUCCCUCUUAGUACCUUUGACAGGGCUUCGGUUCCCCAGCAAGGUCUUCGGCGUCAGGUUCUGCCCCCAUGGCCCUACUAGUAGCCCCGUCUCUAAGAUCUUCCGCUUCAGCCUCAGCCUCACCUCUAUCUAUACCUGCACUGUCCAUGUCUCUCUCCCUAGUAGUAGCAGCAUCGUCCUCAGAAUCGCGAUCAGGACUACUAAUGUUCUCCGCACCGUCUCUGUCUUCAGGAUCAGCAUCGUCCUCGGCGUCGAUGUCAGGACUACUACUGUCCUUCCCACCGUCUCUGUCAAACAGCGGACGUGCGUCUUCGUGAUCAGCGAGGGGAGCGUUCUGUGGUGGAGGAGCGUUCUGUGGUGGAGGAGCGCUCCCCAGAGGACGAUCCGCGUUACUACUGGCCAGAGGACAACCCGCGUUACUACUGGCCAGAGGACAAUCCGCGUUGCUACUGGCCAGAGGUCCGAGAGCAUCGGGAAGUUGUACUCGACUUACAGUUUGUUGACUCCUAGGUACCUUGUCUCGACGAGUAUAGCUUCCGACAAGUCAACGAAAUAGUACUUGUUAGAAGACAAUGUUUAAAUUCUACAACACCACGAACUGUAGUCACUGAUGUUCGAUGUCUACGACGAUACACCUACAGACCUAUGAACAAUCUUGAUAUAAAUGUACUACACCACUUCUCCACGACCAACUAUUUCCCACUUGUGUGUUCAACGAACGACAACGGCAACUAUAACAAACACGACAUGGGGAAUUACUACUACUACGACCACUGCCUCUACUACUACCACUACGACCACCCCCAACUACUGCGACCACUAGUAAAACGACGUACGUGAGAACAAUACGACUGUUCAUUCCAAGUUUACUAGGUCGACUCCAAGUGACGAAUUCGACAAGUAGUUAUUAUUUUGAUGAGGCCAAGUACAAAGAGGCACGAUCCUAAACUUUUUUAACAAAAAAAAGCAGUUCAGAGGAGUGUACUAAAUACAAUAUACGUUGGGGGUCUUGUAUAAAAAUUGUUUUCCCACCAACACACAAGAAGGCAACAAUCAAGACCGGAUUUAUUUAAGACUCUACUACUAUGUCAGAACUUUUUAUUCACUUGAGUCUUCAAUCGUGUUAUGGAAUAAUAUGGUAAAGCUUUCGAUAAUACAUGUAUGUAUCGUUACGUUUAUGAGAAUUACACGACUGGAUCAAUUAAAAAUCAUAGAAUCCUAAUACAUACCAAAUAUCUCUAGUAGUACAAACCGUCAACUACGAGGUUCAAAUGUCAAUGACAUUCGCACACCAUCGAAGAACCGAACAUUGGUCAAACACCCUGAAGAAAAGAAGUAUAAUACUGAGGACAUAUGUAGAAAAGACUUUUUUGAAAUGUUGAGAAUUGUGGAACGCGUUAUCUUCCACACACCAUCCACAAAAGGUAACGUCUGACUUAAUACAGUCCCACACACCAUCCACAAAAGUUAACGUCUGACUUAAUACAGUCGAGGUUCCGGACGACGGGACAUCUGCACGAGUACGCUUACGACUGCAUGCUAGUACACCGCUACCGCCGGGAUACUUUUCUUGGAAGCGAGGUACUAAAUACAUAAAGUAUUAUGUAUUUUCACAUUACAUACUAUUGAAACAUAAAUAGUAAAGCAUGUGUUAACUUUUAAGGCCCUUUCUUGAACGCGACUAAAACAAACUAACAUGAUACCCGAUGAAACGAGUAACCGCUCACAAACAACGAACAAACAUAUGAA